GACGAACGCUGGCGGCGUGCUUAACACAUGCAAGUCGAACGGAAAGGCCCUGCUUUUGUGGGGUGCUCGAGUGGCGAAAGGGUGAGUAACACGUGAGUAACCUGCCCUUGACUUUGGGAUAACUUCAGGAAACUGGGGCUAAUACCGGAUAGGAGCUCCUGCUGCAUGGUGGGGGUUGGAAAGUUUCGGCGGUUGGGGAUGGACUCGCGGCUUAUCAGCUUGUUGGUGGGGUAGUGGCUUACCAAGGCUUUGACGGGUAGCCGGCCUGAGAGGGUGACCGGCGACAUUGGGACUGAGAGACGGCCCAGACUGCUACGGGAGGCAGAAGGGGGGAAUAUUGCGCAAUGGGCGGGAGUCUGAUGCAGCAACGCCGCGUGCGGGAUGACGGGCUUCGGGUUGUAAACCGCUUUCGCCUGUGACGAAGCGUGAGUGACGGUAAUGGGUAAAGAAGCACCGGCUAACUACGUG
RNAcentral lists this ribosomal RNA (468 nucleotides) under uncultured bacterium. RNAcentral's name for it is "partial 16S ribosomal RNA". It matches the Rfam family "Bacterial small subunit ribosomal RNA", at positions 28 to 507 of the family's 1533-position model. The record is from RNAcentral.